RNAcentral lists this ribosomal RNA (525 nucleotides) under uncultured Ascomycota. Its description in RNAcentral is "eukaryotic LSU rRNA". The stretch from base 189 to 340 matches the Rfam family "5.8S ribosomal RNA". Lineage: Eukaryota; Fungi; Ascomycota. The record is from RNAcentral.
CUUGGUCAUUUAGAGGAAGUAAAAGUCGUAACAAGGUCUCCGUAGGUGAACCUGCGGAGGGAUCAUUAACGAAUGGCCCUAGGCCUUCAACCUUGUAAACCUGUGGAAGCAAAACGUGCUUUGGCGCUUUCGGGCGCCAACUUUAUGCUUAGAUCAGUCUUGAUGUCUGAAUCAAAAACAAGAAAUAAAACUUUCAACAAAGGAUCUCUUGGCUCUCGCAUCGAUGAAGAACGCAGCGAAGCGCGAAAUGUAGUGUGAAUCGCAGAACAUUGUGAAUCAUCGAAUCUUUGAACGCACAUUGCGCCUCCAGUAACUUGGAGGCAUGCCUGUCUGAGCGUCAUUUAAAACCAUAGACCCUUCUGGGUUUGUAUUGGGCCUCGCCUCCGGGCGUAGCCUCAAAGUCAUCGGUCUUAUACGCGGACGAGCUCCAUUCGGACGGAACGUGUGCAGACCUUAAUUCAUCUGACUUGACCUCAGAUCAGGUAGGACUACCGCCUGAACUUAAGCAUAUCAAUAAGCGGAGGA